GUGGGGAAUCUUGCGCAAUGGGCGAAAGCCUGACGCAGCGACGCCGCGUGAGUGAUGAAGGCCUUAGGGUUGUAAAGCUCUGUGGAGGGGGACGAAUAAGCGUCGGUGAAUAUCCGGCGUGAUGACGGUACCCCUUUAGCAAGCACCGGCUAACUCUGUGCCAGCAGCCGCGGUAAGACAGAGGGUGCAAACGUUGUUCGGAAUUACUGGGCGUAAAGCGCGUGUAGGCCGUCGCGAAAGUCGGGUGUGAAAGCCCUGGGCUCAACCUGGGAAGUGCACUCGAAACUUCGUGACUUGAGUAUCGGAGAGGGAGGCGGAAUUCUCGGUGUAGAGGUGAAAUUCGUAGAUAUCGAGAGGAACACCAGUGGCGAAGGCGGCCUCCUGGACGAUUACUGACGCUGAGACGCGAAAGCGUGGGGAGCAAACAGGAUUAGAUACCCCUGUAGUCC
This 449-nucleotide ribosomal RNA is filed under the name uncultured bacterium. RNAcentral's name for it is "bacterial SSU rRNA". It matches the Rfam family "Bacterial small subunit ribosomal RNA", at positions 354 to 796 of the family's 1533-position model. The record is from RNAcentral.